GCAUCGAUGAAAGACGCAGCGAAAUGCGAUAAGUAAUGUGAAUUGCAGAAUUCAGUGAAUCAUCGAAUCUUUGAACGCACAUUGCGCCCAUUAGUAUUCUAGUGGGCAUGCCUGUUCGAGCGUCAUU
This 127-nucleotide ribosomal RNA is filed under the name Peroneutypa scoparia. Its description in RNAcentral is "partial 5.8S ribosomal RNA". It matches the Rfam family "5.8S ribosomal RNA", at positions 30 to 154 of the family's 154-position model. Rfam says of the family: 5.8S ribosomal RNA (5.8S rRNA) is a component of the large subunit of the eukaryotic ribosome. Lineage: Eukaryota; Fungi; Ascomycota; Sordariomycetes; Xylariales; Diatrypaceae. The record is from RNAcentral.